AGAGUUUGAUUCUGGCUCAGAACGAACGCUGGCAGCGUGGAUUAGGCAUGCAAGUCGAACGUGAUCCGGAAUGUAGCAAUACAGUACGGUGAAAGUGGCGCAAGGGUGAGUAACGCGUGGGUAAUCUACCUCUAAGUUGGGGAUAACCUUCCGAAAGGAGGGCUAACACCGAAUGUGGUCACUCCGCAUAUGCGGGGAGGAUCAAAGACGGGGAUCUUUCGGGACCUGUCGCUUGGAGAGGAGCCUGCGUGCCAUCAGCUAGUUGGUAGGGUAAUGGCCUACCAAGGCUUACGGCUAGCUGGUCUGAGAGGAUGACCAGCCACACUGGGACUGAGACACUGCCCAGACUCCUACGGGAGGCUGCAGUCGAGGAUCUUGGACAAUGCGCGAAAGCGUGAUCCAGCGACGCUGCGUGGAGGAUGAAGGCCUUCGGGUUGUAAACUCCUGUCAUUCGGGAAAAACGACUUCGGGAUUAAUACUUCCGGAGAGUGAUGGUACCGAAAGAGGAAGCCACGGCUAACUCUGUGCCAGCAGCCGCGGUAAUACAGAGGUGGCGAGCGUUGUUCGGAUUUACUGGGCGUAAAGGGUGCGUAGGUGGUCGCCUAUGUCGGAUGUGAAAUCCCACGGCUUAACCGUGGAACGGCAUUCGAAACUGGGUGACUUGAGUGCAGGAGGGGAGAGCGGAAUUCUUGGUGUAGCGGUGAAAUGCGUUGAUAUCAAGAAGAACACCGGUGGCGAAGGCGGCUCUCUGGAAUGCUACUGACACUGAGGCACGAAAGCUGAGGGAGCAAACAGGAUUAGAUACCCUGGUAGUCCCAGCUGUAAACGGUGUGCGCUUGGUGUGGGGAGAUUUGACCCUCCCCGUGCCGGAGCUAACGCGUUAAGCGCACCGCCUGGGGAGUACGGUCGCAAGGCUAAAACUCAAAGAAAUUGACGGGGGCCCGCACAAGCGGAGGAGCAUGUGGCUUAAUUCGAUGCAACGCGAAGAACCUUACCAGGGCUUGACAUGCAGCUGCACGUCCGUCGAAAGGCGGAUUCCUUCGAGGGUGCUGCACAGGUGCUGCAUGGCUGUCGUCAGUUCGUGCCGUGAGGUGUUGGGUUAAGUCCCGCAACGAACGCAACCCCUGUGUUUAGUUGCCACCGCCGCAAGGCGAGCACUCUAAACAGACUGCCUGUACAAAACAGGAGGAAGGUGGGGACGACGUCAAGUCAGUAUGGCCCUUAUGCCCUGGGCUGCACACGUGCUACGAUGGCCGGUACAGAGGGAAGCAAGACCGCAAGGUGGAGCAAAUCCUGAAAACCGGUCCCAGUUCGGAUUGAAGGCUGAAACUCGCCUUCAUGAAGUUGGAUUCGCUAGUAACGGCGUAUCAGCUACGACGCCGUGAAUACGUUCCCGGGCCUUGUACACACCGCCCGUCACAUCAUGAAAGCCAUCUGCACCCAAACACGCCAAGCUAACCCGCAAGGGAGGCAGGUGUCUAAGGUGUGGGUGGUGAUUGGGAUGAAGUCGAAACAAGGUA
RNAcentral lists this ribosomal RNA (1520 nucleotides) under metagenome. RNAcentral describes it as "bacterial SSU rRNA". It matches the Rfam family "Bacterial small subunit ribosomal RNA". The record is from RNAcentral.